This 433-nucleotide ribosomal RNA is filed under the name uncultured bacterium. RNAcentral describes it as "partial 16S ribosomal RNA". It matches the Rfam family "Bacterial small subunit ribosomal RNA", at positions 29 to 507 of the family's 1533-position model. The record is from RNAcentral.
AACGAACACUGGCGGCAGGCCUAACACAUGCAAGUCGAGCGAGGACUUCGGUCCUAGCGGCGGACGGGUGAGUAACGCGUGGGAACGUGCCCUUUGCUUCGGAAUAGCCCUGGGAAACUGGGAGUAAUACCGGAUGAGCCCUUUGGGGGAAAGAUUUAUCGGCGAAGGAUCGGCCCGCGUUGGAUUAGGUAGUUGGUGGGGUAAUGGCCUACCAAGCCGACGAUCCAUAGCUGGUUUGAGAGGAUGAUCAGCCACACUGGGACUGAGACACGGCCCAGACUCCUACGGGAGGCAGCAGUGGGGAAUCUUAGACAAUGGGGGAAACCCUGAUCUAGCCAUGCCGCGUGAGCGAUGAAGGCCUUAGGGUUGUAAAGCUCUUUCAGCUGGGAAGAUAAUGACGGUACCAGCAGAAGAAGCCCCGGCUAACUCCGUG